RNAcentral lists this ribosomal RNA (423 nucleotides) under uncultured bacterium. RNAcentral describes it as "bacterial SSU rRNA". It matches the Rfam family "Bacterial small subunit ribosomal RNA", at positions 207 to 622 of the family's 1533-position model. The record is from RNAcentral.
AAGACCUUGCGCUUUUGGAGCGGCCGAUGUCUGAUUAGCUUGUUGGUAAGGUAAAAGCUUACCAAGGCUUCGAUCAGUAGCUGGUCUGAGAGGACGACCAGCCGCACUGGGACUGAGACACGGCCCAGACUCCUACGGGAGGCAGCAGUGGGGAAUUUUGGACAAUGGGGGCAACCCUGAUCCAGCCAUGCCGCGUGAGUGAAGAAGGCCUUCGGGUUGUAAAGCUCUUUCAGCCGGAACGAAACGGUUACGGUUAAUACCCGUGACUACUGACGGUACCGGAAGAAGAAGCACCGGCUAACUACGUGCCAGCAGCCGCGGUAAUACGUAGGGUGCAAGCGUUAAUCGGAAUUACUGGGCGUAAAGCGUGCGCAGGUGGUUUUGUAAGUCAGAUGUGAAAUCCCCGGGCUUAACCUGGGAACU